This 26-nucleotide non-coding RNA is filed under the name Mus musculus (house mouse). Lineage: Eukaryota; Metazoa; Chordata; Mammalia; Rodentia; Muridae. The record is from RNAcentral.
UACGAUUAUUUUUGCUGCUUCACAUA